UUCAACAAGGGUGUAGGAUGG
Molecule: microRNA, 21 nt
Filed under: Homo sapiens (human)
Lineage: Eukaryota; Metazoa; Chordata; Mammalia; Primates; Hominidae
Description: hsa-miR-7159-5p
Source: miRBase by way of RNAcentral